Molecule: non-coding RNA, 1662 nt
Organism: Rattus norvegicus (Norway rat)
Lineage: Eukaryota; Metazoa; Chordata; Mammalia; Rodentia; Muridae
Source: RefSeq, a predicted model, not a curated record
CCCUUUGGGAAAUUUUUAUUUUCUGCUUGCUUUUUCUAGUUGAAAUUCAAUUCCUGAUAUCGACUUGAGAGUGGUCUCUUUCUCUACCCUUUUCUAUCAACAGCAAUUAGAAAGAACAUUUGGACUUUAUUUUGAAAGUUUUAUACAUGUGCCUAACCACUCCAAUUCCUCAAUUUGUUGAUGCAAUGUAGGUUGAUGUUUAUAUGCAGGUGAGAUCUGGCACAAGUUAGGUCAAGGCCAUGAUUGAACAGUAAAAAAAUUAAGUAGGGACAAAGCUUUUAUAAGGUGAGAGAGAAGGGAAAGGAGAAGAAAAUCAAAAUGGAGACUGAGAAGGAUGACCCAGGUCCAAGUGGUCUUAAAUGGCCCUAGGUAGUUAUGUAUAUUUCUUAAGGGAUGGAUUUCUACAGGUCAGAUUAUCUUAUUUAGGAGGGCGGUUUAUAUCUUUAUUAUUGUUUAUUGUGUGGAUAUAUUGUAGAUUGAGAAUUUAAUAUAUAAAUCUGAUUGAUAAAUUACAGUUUACUGAGCCAUGAUUUCAAAGGGUAGUUGGGAGUUUUUACCUUAACUACCAGGGGGCAGUUGUUGGGAGUGUGGACAAAGUCCACGGCAGGGAGCCACAGUAGGCCAGCCCCAUGCUGGACUUCUAGAGCCCUGAUUUUGCUGAGUAGUUAGAACCAGAGAGUUUGUGGCUAGUAGAGAACUGCCAGGAGAGAUACUAAGCAGAGAUAAAUUAUGGUUAGUUCCGUAUGGCCACACGGUGUCAUAACUAACUCUAGGAACAGCUGGUCUAGAAACCAGCGUGGCACCACCAGCUCGAAUGGCUCAUGGACUGCCUGGGACUGAGAGUCCUUGAGGGCAGUGUAGAGCUGCUGAGAUAAAGAUACCCCACAUGCCAUGUGGGUAAACCCCGUAGUACCACUAUGGGUGCUGGUGCUAAUGUGGAAUAAAAUGUUCAAGUUUAUUUUAAGAUUUAUUGCAACAAUGUAACACCAAGAAGUUUUAUAAAAUAACAUUCUGGAUUUCACGUGUUUAGAGAUAACCAGUUAAAUUCUAGCAGCAUCCUUCUAUUUAGGGUUCUAUAAUAUGUUGGAACUAUAAUAGUAUAGCUUUAUAUUCACUUUCCACUGGUAUGCAUAGUAAUUUUUACUUAUGUUUGUCAUAUAUGAUACAUAUUUGUAUAUAGGUUUUAAUGUUAUUAUCAACACCAUUGAAGAUUUUUGCAAAUGAUCACAGAGGCACUCCAACAUGGCAUCAAUUUUUUUAACAUUGGAUUAGAGAAAAAUGAAUGACUACAUGAUAAAUCUAUCAGAUACAUGAUAGUUCUUCUUCCUGCUUUCAAAAGGAGACAGGGUUGAGGAAAAAAGAUGUGGCCCAUGUCAGAGGACUUUCUCCAUCACUAUCUUAUUUCAUGAGAUAAGGUCUCUACCUAAACUAUUUUGCAAAAUUGACUAGUGUUAAAUCACAAGGAAUCAUCAGGUCUCAGAUUUCGCUUCACUAGAUUCCCAGGUUUACAUUACCUUCAUUUUUUGAUAUGGGUAUUAGGAGUAAAACUCAGGUUAUUUUUUCCCAACAAGUAUUUUCUCAACUCUUAACUUCCUUAAAUUAUUUAAAUUUUCAUUUAUUCUUGGAUAAAUCUAUUCAUAAAAACUAUGUGUAUUGAUCAAA